Molecule: ribosomal RNA, 931 nt
Filed under: uncultured Thermococcales archaeon
Lineage: Archaea; Methanobacteriati; Methanobacteriota; Thermococci; Thermococcales
Description: bacterial SSU rRNA
Rfam family: Archaeal small subunit ribosomal RNA
Source: RNAcentral
UUUCCGGUUGAUCCUGCCGGAAGCCACUGCUAUGGGGGUCCGACUAAGCCAUGCGAGUCAAGGGGGCGUCCCUUCUGGGACGCCACCGGCGGACGGCUCAGUAACACGUCGGUAACCUACCCUCGGGAGGGGGAUAACCCCGGGAAACUGGGGCUAAUCCCCCAUAGGCCUGGGGUACUGGAAGGUCCCCAGGCCGAAAGGGAGCCGUAAGGCUCCGCCCGAGGAUGGGCCGGCGGCCGAUUAGGUAGUUGGUGGGGUAACGGCCCACCAAGCCGAAGAUCGGUACGGGCCGUGAGAGCGGGAGCCCGGAGAUGGACACUGAGACACGGGUCCAGGCCCUACGAGGCGCAGCAGGCGCGAAACCUCCGCAAUGCGGGAAACCGCGACGGGGGGACCCCCAGUGCCGUGCCUCUGGCACGGCUUUUCCGGAGUGUAAAAAGCUCCGGGAAUAAGGGCUGGGCAAGGCCGGUGGCAGCCGCCGCGGUAAUACCGGCGGCCCGAGUGGUGGCCACUAUUAUUGGGCCUAAAGCGGCCGUAGCCGGGCCCGUAAGUCCCUGGCGAAAUCCCACGGCUCAACCGUGGGGCUCGCUGGGGAUACUGCGGGCCUUGGGACCGGGAGAGGCCGGGGGUACCCCCGGGGUAGGGGUGAAAUCCUAUAAUCCCGGGGGGACCGCCAGUGGCGAAGGCGCCCGGCUGGAACGGGUCCGACGGUGAGGGCCGAAGGCCAGGGGAGCGAACCGGAUUAGAUACCCGGGUAGUCCUGGCUGUAAAGGAUGCGGGCUAGGUGUCGGGCGAGCUUCGAGCUCGCCCGGUGCUGUAGGGAAGCCGUUAAGCCCGCCGCCUGGGGAGUACGGCCGCAAGGCUGAAACUUAAAGGAAUUGGCGGGGGAGCACUACAAGGGGUGGAGCGUGCGGUUUAAUUGGAUUCAACG